CCGUUACGAUUAACCAACUAAUCGUAACCAACAAAUAUUGCCCGUUACAAAUAGAAAAGUCAACAGAAUUUUGACCUUGUUAUUUGUAACUAACAUGGGGUGUCCGUUACGAAUAAGGUUUUAAAGUAAGCCCUAAAUUUUUACUUUCCCCUUUCUCACUCCCUCUGUCAAAAAAUUUCCUCUCUCUCUCCAAUAUUGAAGCAGCUCCCGCGCGCAAGGUCGUCGUCCUCACCUCCCUGAACUCCAUUGAAGGAGCUCCAAGCUCAGUUCAACCUUUUGCUCCUCUCAUUCUCACUCUUCUCCUCCAUUGAAGCGCACUUUGAGUUCUCCAUUAUUGAAGCGCACUCUGAGUUCUCCAUUGAAGGGAUUUUAGAGUUCUCCAUUGAAGCGCUCUCUGAGUUCUCCAUUGAAGCGCACUCUGAGUUCUCCAUUAAAGCGAGCAGCUCGGUCCUUAGCUCCCUCAACUCCAUUAAAGCAGCUACGUCCUCAUUUCAAGAUGGUGAUUUGAUGCGGCUUAAAUCUGACAAUUUGGUGUAGGCAUACUACAAUGGAAGAAAACAGAGAUGAUCAUGAUGGACAGGAACAAUCUGGUGACAUGGAUGCCUCCACUUCCCAAGUAAAAUCUUCUACAAAAAAGGGACGAGGCCCGUCUAGAUCAGUCCAAACAACUACACCCAUGUUCCUCGAAUUUGAUGAGUUUGACAUGCCUAUUGGAAAGUGGAAAUCUGCUUAUGGGAAGCAAAUUGGUAAUUGUGCUCAAAGAGUUAACAUUAAUGUGAAGGGAUAUUCGAAGUAUGAUAAAGUUCAAAAGCAAAACUUGUGGGAGGAGAGUAAGGUAAUUACGAUAUAAAUAUGGUUUAUUGCUCU
Molecule: long non-coding RNA, 867 nt
Organism: Chenopodium quinoa (quinoa)
Lineage: Eukaryota; Viridiplantae; Streptophyta; Magnoliopsida; Caryophyllales; Amaranthaceae
Exons: 3
Source: RefSeq, a predicted model, not a curated record